AUUGAACGCUGGCGGCAGGCCUAACACAUGCAAGUCGAGCGGAUGAAGGGAGCUUGCUCCUGGAUUCAGCGGCGGACGGGUGAGUAAUGCCUAGGAAUCUGCCUGGUAGUGGGGGAUAACGUCCGGAAACGGGCGCUAAUACCGCAUACGUCCUGAGGGAGAAAGUGGGGGAUCUUCGGACCUCACGCUAUCAGAUGAGCCUAGGUCGGAUUAGCUAGUUGGUGGGGUAAAGGCCUACCAAGGCGACGAUCCGUAACUGGUCUGAGAGGAUGAUCAGUCACACUGGAACUGAGACACGGACCAGGCUCCUACGGGCGGCAGCAGUAGGGAAUAUUGGACAAUGGGCGAAAGCCUGAUCCAGCCAUACCGCGUGUGUGAAGAAGGUCUUCUGAUUGCAAAGCACUUUAAGUUGGGGGGAAGGGCAGUAAGUUAAUACCUUGCUGUUUUGACGUUACCAACAGAAUAAGCACCGGCUAACUUCGUG
Molecule: ribosomal RNA, 484 nt
Filed under: uncultured bacterium
Lineage: Bacteria
Description: partial 16S ribosomal RNA
Rfam family: Bacterial small subunit ribosomal RNA
Source: RNAcentral